UUUUAUGGCCAUUCCACCCUGUGCGCGCCCGAUCUCAUCUGAUCUCGGAAGCUAAGCAGGGUUGGGCCUGGUUAGUACUUCGAUGGGAGACUGCCUGGGAAUACCAGGUGCUGUAAGCU
Ribosomal RNA from Sinocyclocheilus anshuiensis, 119 nucleotides. Lineage: Eukaryota; Metazoa; Chordata; Actinopteri; Cypriniformes; Cyprinidae. The record is from Ensembl.